This 468-nucleotide ribosomal RNA is filed under the name uncultured bacterium. Its description in RNAcentral is "partial 16S ribosomal RNA". It matches the Rfam family "Bacterial small subunit ribosomal RNA", at positions 28 to 507 of the family's 1533-position model. The record is from RNAcentral.
GACGAACGCUGGCGGCGUGCUUAACACAUGCAAGUCGAACGGAAAGGCCCUGCUUUUGUGGGGUGCUCGAGUGGCGAACGGGUGAGUAACACGUGAGUAACCUGCCCUUGACUUUGGGAUAACUUCAGGAAACUGGGGCUAAUACCGGAUAGGAGCUCAUGCUGCAUGGUGGGGGUUGGAAAGUUUCGGCGGUUGGGGAUGGACUCGCGGCUUAUCAGCUUGUUGGUGGGGUAGUGGCUUACCAAGGCUUUGACGGGUAGCCGGCCUGAGAGGGUGACCGGCCACCUUGGGACUGAGAUACGGCCCAGACUCCUACGGGAGGCAGCAGUGGGGAAUAUUGCACAAUGGGCGGAAGCCUGAUGCAGCAACGCCGCGUGCGGGAUGACGGCCUUCGGGUUGUAAACCGCUUUCGCCUGUGACGAAGCGUGAGUGACGGUAAUGGGUAAAGAAGCACCGGCUAACUACGUG